UACGAAGGGUGCAAACGUUGCUCGGAAUUAUUGGGCGUAAAGCGCACGUAGGCGGCUUUGCAAGUCGGAUGUGAAAUCCCUCGGCUCAACCAAGGAAGUGCAUCCGAAACUGCAGAGCUUGAGUACUUAAGAGGAUCGCGGAAUUCCCGGUGUAGAGGUGAAAUUCGUAGAUAUCGGGAGGAACACCGGUGGCGAAGGCGGGUCUCUGGGCAGUAACUGACGCUGAGGAGCGAAAGCGUGGGGAGCGAACAGG
RNAcentral lists this ribosomal RNA (253 nucleotides) under uncultured bacterium. RNAcentral describes it as "partial 16S ribosomal RNA". It matches the Rfam family "Bacterial small subunit ribosomal RNA", at positions 524 to 776 of the family's 1533-position model. The record is from RNAcentral.